This 480-nucleotide ribosomal RNA is filed under the name uncultured bacterium. RNAcentral's name for it is "partial 16S ribosomal RNA". It matches the Rfam family "Bacterial small subunit ribosomal RNA", at positions 28 to 507 of the family's 1533-position model. The record is from RNAcentral.
GAUGAACGCUAGCGGCAGGCCUAACACAUGCAAGUCGAGGGGUAGAAGGAGCUUGCUCCUUUGAGACCGGCGCACGGGUGCGUAACGCGUAUGCAAUCUACCUUGUACAGGGGAAUAGCCCAGAGAAAUUUGGAUUAAUGCCCCAUAGUAUAUAAACUUCGCAUGAUGGUUAUAUUAAAUUUCCAACGGUACAAGAUGAGCAUGCGUUCCAUUAGUUAGUUGGUAAGGUGACGGCUUACCAAGACGUAGAUGGAUAGGGGUGCAUGGAGGGUGAUCACCCACACUGGUACACAGCCCCCGACCCGACUACUACGGGAGGCAGCAGUGAGGAAUAUUAGUCACUGGUCGCAAGACUGAACCGCCCAUGCCGCAUGCAAGAAGACAGUCCUGUUGAGUAUAAUCUGCUUUUAUAAAGGAAGAAACCCACCCACGUGGGGGGGCUUGACGGUACUGUAGGAAUAAAGAACGGCUAACUCCGUG